RNAcentral lists this long non-coding RNA (3260 nucleotides) under Macaca mulatta (Rhesus monkey). RNAcentral describes it as "lncRNA (ENSMMUG00000050031.1)". Lineage: Eukaryota; Metazoa; Chordata; Mammalia; Primates; Cercopithecidae. The record is from RNAcentral.
AUGGAGAAAAAAAAGAAAAACCAACCGAGGCACAUCCUUGUCACCCAGAAAGAAACUGCUCGGGCCGCUGAGAGCGGGCGCGGGACCGGGCGCGGCGCCUCUCCCGGCCCGGCUCGCUCUUUCUUCCCUCCUCGGCCGGGCCGCGCCUCCCCGCCCCGCGCCGCCGCCACCAAGCAGCCCGCGGGCAGAGCCGAGCUCUCCGCGGCGCGCAGCCGGGAGCGAAAGCGCGAGCUCGCUCGCAGCCUCCAGCCGGUCUGGGCGGCGAGUGGCGCUGUUUCCCAGUCGCGCAGCUGGAAUUUAAAGAGACAGGCGCGUCGCGGGAUCUGGGCCCUUGCCCAGGAGAGGAGCCCCACAGGAGGCCCAACGUCUCGGAACCGCGCGGGAUGGACCGAGCGGGCCCUGCGAGAAAAGUUUCCUGCGGAGACGGCUGGAGGAGCGCCUGAGGACCAGGCUCAGCUUCCUCUCCCGAGUGCAGAACACAGUCUGCAAGGAGAGAUGAUCAAGUGUAAAAUGUACUAAAGAAGAGAUACGUGGGGAACAAAGACACCAAUUAGAAAACCAUAGCCUGAAGAAGUCACACCAUUCAUUUUGGGAGCUGUCCAUGUAAGAGUUUUCUCUUCUAUUAAAAAAAAAAAAAAAAGAGUUAAAAGCAACAUUCUUGCAUGCACCCAAAAGAGAGAAGCAAAUCCAAUUGAUCAGUGUCUAAGAUUCACUGAGCUUUGUCUUGCAAGUGAGCAUGAAUUCUAUUCCUUCACUAAAGAAUUAUCCUGUCCCUCUUGUUUCUGUGGAAUAUGCACAGCAGAGCAGACGUUGCACAUCCUACCCACUGAGGGGAAGGUGAAGGGGUAGAGGAAGCCUACAACUCUCUUCUCGGGUUUGUAUAAAAAUGGACAUACUAGGCAGCCUUGUGGUCUUUGUGGGAAAGCUGGUUGGUCAAGUAUUUCAAAAAAUGCAUAGUUUUUGUGUGUGUCUGAGGACCAAAGUCCCAAUAUUAAUUCAUAUGGGAGGUAAGAGACCCCUCCUCAACCCAAUACCCCAGAAUUUUGGAUUUAUAGGAAGGGAGACCACAUAAUACAUUAUCCAAACUAGGACACCAUUGAAGAUAAAGAGAAAACUAUUCAAAAUUACACCAGGAUAACAGGUUUAAACUGAGAUUAUCCUGAGUAAACCUGUGAUAUCCUAUAAAUUAUAGUAUGCUUGCAUAUGAAAUUAGUAUAAAAUGCCUUGGCCAGGCGUAGUGCCUCACGACUGUAAUCUCAGCACUUUGGGAGGCCGAGGCAGGUGGAUCACCUGAGGUCAUGAGUUCAAGACCAGCCUGGGCAAUAUGGUGAAACCCCAUCUCUACUAAAAAUACAAAAAUUUGCCAGGUGUGGUGGCACAUGCUUGUAGUCCCAGAUACUCAGGAGGCUGAGGCACGAAAAUUGCUUGAACCCAGGAGGUGGAGGUUGCAGUGAACCGAGAUCACGCCACUGCACUCCAGCCUGGGCAACAGAGUGAGACUCGGUCUCAAAAUAAUAAUAAAAAUAAAUAAUAAAUAAAUUCACCUUCCCCGUAAUACCUUGAGUCCCUACUAUCUUUAUUAGUAGAUAGUCGCAUAUUUUCUUCUUGAGAACCCUCCUUUCAUCAACUAAAACCUUUAGCAUCCAUGAGGCCUAAUUUGCACACCCAAUAAGGGUGAACACUGGACUCUAGUGCACUCUGGUUCUUGUUGCUGUGUGGUUGGAACUACAGAAGUUGGAUCCUAUAGGCUCAAAAGUCAAUGCCAAUCCAUUUCUGAAAUAAUGACCUGAUAACCCAGCUCCAGGCUAUCGUGGUUCAGCAUGGAAGCAGGAGCCCGUUCCCUCAGUGCUAACACGAGGGCAAGCGUACCCCUUACUUGAGUUUCCAGUGCUGUAGCUCUUGGCUCUCAGUUCUUUGGGGUCUGGAUUGGUUCAGUGUCAGCCACUCAGAGACCACUUUCCCUUUCCCUCCCCAGGGUGUUGGGGAGCUUUUCAUUUUAAAUUCUCCAAACACAAGGUUGUUACUCUUCUGAGGAAUGUAGGCCUCUGUCAACCAAAGGUGGUUUUACCCUACAAUGAAAGAACCCCUAUAUCUUUGGGGGAUGAUGAAGGUUGAGGAUACCUUUUUUGAUUCCAAAGCAAGUUUUUGGCAUGUCUCUUGAGAGAAACUUUUUUUGAAAAAGGUAAACUCUAAUGGGAUACUCUUCUAUGCACAGAUUAAUAAAAUUGAAAUGCCUCCUAUUUGCCAAGUGAGUAUCAUUGUGAUCCAUAAAAAUAUGGGAAAAGAUUAUAGUAUUUGUGUUGGCUAUAGAAAUUACGAAACUGAUGGAAUAGCAACUAGAGACAUUUUCUAAGAAAAGCCUUACUGAAUCUAGAGACUGAUUAGGUUUCUUAAUAAACCAAAAAAUAAAAAAAGGAAAAAAAUCAAGUGUGAAACAAGAGUUUUGACUUUAAGUGAUGAGAAUAAUACUGAUGCUAAGAGGAAGUGGGAGUUAAUGCUGCUGGUUUAGCAUCAAAUAUAAUUAAUCAAAUUUGAAAAAUAUUGGUAUUGUGCUAACAGUAGGACAUCCGAGCAGUAAAUAUCUAACAAACAAUUUGACUUUUUUUAUUUAAAUGGAGCGUGGUAGGGAGAUUAGAAGUUACAAUACAGAGUUGGAAAUCUUUCGCCUCUUAGAGCAUGAGUUGUAGACUUGUGGAUGAGCUCAUCAAGGGUAAAGAGUGGGAAGAAAAAGAUAAGUCAUCAAAGAAGUCAAGGCAAGUGUGGUCAAAGAGAGAACAGUGUGAUGUGUCUUACAAAUGGAGACAAAUGCCAGUGUAACCCAGAAAUCUGAACAGAGAGAAAACAUGGAAAACCUGAAGCAGGAAAUUCAACUGGAAGUAAAGACUAUUAACUAUUAUGGAGAGAUCAAAGGAACCAAAGACUCUGAAAAUAAACCCUUGGAAUUUAUACAAAGGAAAAAAGGUACAAAUAUUUGAGUACCAGCUAUAUGCUAGGUGCUUUUCCUUACAUUAAAUAUUUUAAAAACAAAGAGUGUGGCAGUGACUUUGGAAAGAGAAUUUUGGCAGGAAAGGAAUGAACAAUAAAUUCAAAGUGGUGCCUUGGAAUAGUGAGACCUAGCUAGAAAUUUUUUUUGUUUUGUUCUCUUGUGUCAAGAUAGAGCAAACUGCUUGUUUGAAGGCAGGGAGAAGGAAACCUCCUGAGAGAGAGAUUAGAGGGAGUAUGAUGGAAGCUAAGUAAUUGCAAUGGCAAAUGUUGAAAAG